Molecule: long non-coding RNA, 691 nt
Organism: Lathyrus oleraceus (garden pea)
Lineage: Eukaryota; Viridiplantae; Streptophyta; Magnoliopsida; Fabales; Fabaceae
Exons: 2
Source: RefSeq, a predicted model, not a curated record
CCCAUACUGAAUCCAAAGGACAUCAACAAAGAACGCGUACACAUAGCUGAAACCAAAUGGAAAAGAAAAUCGCUUAUGUAAAAAGCCAGAGCAACGCAAUUCUUCCACCUUCGACAUCGCGUUUUCCACCUUCGUUCUCAAUCGAUUAUUUCGCGUUCAAACAUGAAGAACGCUCAAAACGCGCUGAUUCCAUAAGUUAGCAACAUCAACAUCGCGUGUUUUUUUCCUCCGCUCAUGAUUCGCGUUCAGAACUCAACCUCGUCGCUCAUGGAUUUUCCUUCACCAACAUCAUCUCAAUUCAAUGAUUUGAAACUUCAAUUCACGGAUUCAAAUUGCGUCCAACAACAAAUAUCAAAAUUGCAAUGGCGUCGACGCGAAAUCGAAAUAAAUUGUAGAUUGAAGUAAGAAGAAUGAAGAGUCGCCGGUUUCGACGCGACUUGUAAGAACAUUGCAGGGAUGUUUUGGAGUUACUCAUGCUUGCUUGUGUUGGAAAUGGUUUGAGGAAUUGCUUGCUAGGCAUAUGGAAUGGAGCUUGGAAUUGGCUUGGAGAUUGUUUUGGCAUGGAGAAUGGACUUAGCGUUUGUAAUUUUUUUGUAAAUUUGUGAAUUAAACAUUGUAAUGUACAUGUAAACCAUGGAUUUGUUGUAAUUGAAACAAUAUGAAUGGGAUUUGCCAAUUGAUGUUGAAAAUA